CCGGCACGGGUGAGUAACACGUAUCCAACCUGCCGUCUACUCUUGGCCAGCCUUCUGAAAGGAAGAUUAAUCCAGGAUGGCAUCAUGAGUUCACAUGUCCGCAUGAUUAAAGGUAUUUUCCGGUAGACGAUGGGGAUGCGUUCCAUUAGAUAGUAGGCGGGGUAACGGCCACCUAGUCAACGAUGGAUAGGGGUUCUGAGAGGAAGGUCCCCCACAUUGGAACUGAGACACGGUCCAA
Molecule: ribosomal RNA, 238 nt
Filed under: uncultured bacterium
Lineage: Bacteria
Description: partial 16S ribosomal RNA
Rfam family: Bacterial small subunit ribosomal RNA
Source: RNAcentral